RNAcentral lists this ribosomal RNA (253 nucleotides) under uncultured bacterium. Its description in RNAcentral is "partial 16S ribosomal RNA". It matches the Rfam family "Bacterial small subunit ribosomal RNA", at positions 524 to 776 of the family's 1533-position model. The record is from RNAcentral.
UACGUAGGGUGCAAGCGUUAAUCGGAAUUACUGGGCGUAAAGCGUGCGCAGGCGGUUAUGUAAGACAGGUGUGAAAGCCCCGGGCUUAACCUGGGAAUGGCAUUGGAAACUGGCUCGCUGGAGUGUGGCAGAGGGGGGUGGAAUUCCGCGUGUAGCAGUGAAAUGCGUAGAGAUGCGGAGGAACACCGAUGGCGAAGGCAGCCCCCUGGGCUAACACUGACGCUCAGGCACGAAAGCGUGGGGAGCAAACAGG